Molecule: ribosomal RNA, 224 nt
Filed under: uncultured Actinomycetales bacterium
Lineage: Bacteria; Bacillati; Actinomycetota; Actinomycetes; Actinomycetales
Description: partial 16S ribosomal RNA
Rfam family: Bacterial small subunit ribosomal RNA
Source: RNAcentral
GUGAGUAACACGUGGGUGAUCUGCCCUGCACUCUGGGAUAAGCCUGGGAAACUGGGUCUAAUACCGGAUAGGACCAUGCUUUAGUGUGUGUGGUGGAAAGUUUUUCGGUGUAGGAUGGGCCCGCGGCCUAUCAGCUUGUUGGUGGGGUAAUGGCCUACCAAGGCGGCGACGGGUAGCCGGACUGAGAGGUUGGUCGGCCACAUUGGGACUGAGAUACGGCCCAG